GCUAUCAACAUGUAUUCCAUCAAUCUCUGUUCAGAAUUCCCUUUCGGGUUCGAGAACUGAGAUACCCGCGUCAAGAUCUCACUCGCAACACCAGUUUUGCCUUCGUAAAUGGCGGAAGCAGCAUCAAGUAGCGUUUGUUUUGAGCAAUUGUGGACUGGAGUGGUCACCGAUGUUGAGGAGGAACAAGGAGAUGAGGACGAUGAAGUAGGCGAUGGAGAAAUCAGGUUGGCACUUGAAGAAGUGAUGAGAUUCUGUAUAGUUUCUGACCA
RNAcentral lists this unclassified non-coding RNA (269 nucleotides) under Hevea brasiliensis (rubber tree). The record is from RNAcentral. Lineage: Eukaryota; Viridiplantae; Streptophyta; Magnoliopsida; Malpighiales; Euphorbiaceae.